Molecule: ribosomal RNA, 497 nt
Filed under: uncultured bacterium
Lineage: Bacteria
Description: partial 16S ribosomal RNA
Rfam family: Bacterial small subunit ribosomal RNA
Source: RNAcentral
UCCUCCCUCUGGCGGCGUGCCUAAUACAUGCAAGUUGAGCGAUGAAGAUUGGUGCUUGCACCAAUUUGAAGAGCAGCGAACGGGUGAGUAACGCGUGGGGAAUCUGCCUUUGAGCGGGGGACAACAUUUGGAAACGAAUGCUAAUACCGCAUAAUAACUUUAAACAUAAGUUUUAAGUUUGAAAGAUGCAAUUGCAUCACUCAAAGAUGAUCCCGCGUUGUAUUAGCUAGUUGGUGAGGUAAAGGCUCACCAAGGCGAUGAUACAUAGCCGACCUGAGAGGGUGAUCGGCCACAUUGGGACUGAGACACGGCCCAAACUCCUACGGGAGGCAGCAGUAGGGAAUCUUCGGCAAUGGACGAAAGUCUGACCGAGCAACGCCGCGUGAGUGAAGAAGGUUUUCGGAUCGUAAAACUCUGUUGGUAGAGAAGAACGUUGGUGAGAGUGGAAAGCUCAUCAAGUGACGGUAACUACACAGAAAGGGACGGCUAACUACGUG